Salvia miltiorrhiza (redroot sage) is the source of this 3691-nucleotide RNA transcript. It is a transcript of the gene named SWI/SNF complex subunit SWI3D, with no coding region annotated. The record is from RefSeq and is a predicted model, not a curated record. The transcript has 8 exons. NCBI's taxonomy places the organism in Eukaryota, Viridiplantae, Streptophyta, Magnoliopsida, Lamiales, Lamiaceae.
UAGUCAACGGCGACUUUACCAACUUCACAUUUAGCAGAAGCGCUAUCACUUCUCAGCGAUUUUAUUUUAAAUAUAGCGAGCCAUCGACACUAAUAUUCAGAAUCAGCAAUCACAACCAUUGAUAUCCCAACGCAGAUGAAUCAACGGCGCAAAAAACGUUUACACGUCGAACACGAAAAUUACCGUAGGCGGGUGUCGCAGAGGAUAAAUCUUAUAUAGAUACAUACAGCAGGGAUGUACGUAUCUUACAGAGUCGACUGAAGCGGAGCUCAUAAACAAUGGAGGAAAAGCGAAGGGACUCCGCCGGUAUUUCGCCUCCGACGGCGUCGGCGAUGGAGGCUUCACCGUCGGAGCAGCCGAUUUCUCGGCGGAGAGGCGGUUUGAAGAGGAAAUCUGCCUCCAUCAACAACAGCGGAGGCAGCUCGGCUUCUCAAACGACGUCUUCGAAGAGACAGGCGAGGGAGAAGCCUCAGGCGGUUCCUUUCCCUCCGAUCCACAUGAACGGGCCCUGCACUAGGGCACGCGUGCAGCCGUACAACAGCAGCAGCUUGUCUGAGGUGGCUUUGCUGAAGAGCGAGGUGGAGGCUAGGGAGGCGGCGGCGGCGAGGGCUGAGGAGGUUAGUAGACUGACCGAGAAUUGGGAGGCAAUGGAGGCGAAGAUUGAGGCUGAGUACGAAACGAUUAGAUCGAGAGAUGCAAGUGCUCACGUAGUGCCUAUUCAUGCCGGUUGGUUUUCAUGGACAAAAACCCAUCCAUUGGAAGAGAGAAUGCUGCCUUCAUUCUUCAAUGGGAAAUCAGAAAGUAGGACUCCAGAAAUAUAUAUGGAGAUACGUAAUUGGAUAAUGAAAAAGUUUCACCUGGAUCCUAAUACAAAAGUUGAGUUGAAGCAUCUGUCCGAACUUACUGUUGGAGAACCAGAUGCUCGACAAGAGGUGAUGGAGUUCCUGGACUACUGGGGAUUGAUUAAUUAUCAUCCUUUCCCAAACCAGGAGCCUGCUGCUAUGAAUGUCGAUGUGGAUGCUAACAAGGAUGAAUCUGGGAAUAUUGAAUCAUUGGUUGAAAAACUCUUUAAGUUUGAAGCAGUGCAAUCAUGGAGUCCAGUUAUUGCCAGGAUGAACAUGAAUACACCAUCCGUUUCGUCUGGCUUGCUUCCAGAAGCUGUUGUUGCUGAUGAACUAGUCAAGUCUGAAGGUCCUUCUGUCGAGUACCAUUGUAAUUCUUGUUCAGCGGAUUGUUCACGGAAGCGAUAUCACUGCCAGAAGCAGGCAGAUUUUGAUCUCUGUGCUGAGUGUUACAACAACGGGAAGUUCGGGUCGGAUAUGUCCCCAUUAGAUUUCAUUCUUAUGGAACCACCAGAAGCUGGUGGUGCUAGUGGAGGGAAAUGGACAGAUCAAGAAACUCUUCUGCUCCUUGAAGCUAUAGAAUUAUUUAGAGAUAACUGGAGCGAGAUUGCUGAGCAUGUUGCAACAAAGACCAAAGCUCAGUGUAUAUUGCACUUUGUUCAAAUGCCAAUUGAAGAUACUUUUUUCAAUCAUGGUGAUGAAAACAAUGAUGUUCCUAAGGAAAAUGGGGCAUCGGAUUCCAUCAGCAAUAAAAACUCUACUCCUGAAGCUGACAAAGAUAGUGAUGCUGCUCCUAAAGAUGCCGUUGAGAAAACAGAAAGCCAGGGUGGUAGUACUGACAAUCAGGACUCAUCCUGUCCAAUGGAGAUCUCAAAGGUUAAUGAGGUCAAGGCAUCAGAUGCGAGUCUUGAAGCUGGAGAGAGUUUUGCAUUGAAGGCUCUCAAGGAAGCAUUUGAAGCCGUGUGUUCUUUUCCUUCACCUGGAGAAAGAUUAUGCUUAGCUGAAGCUGGUAACCCUGUGAUGACAUUGGCUGCAUUUCUAGUACGACUGGUGGACCCUAAUAUUGCCAAUGCAUCCGUUUGUAGCCUAUUGAAAUCUGUCUCUAGUGGUUAUUCCUGUGAGCAGCUUGCAGCCAGGCACUGCUUCUCUCUGGAAGAUCCUCCGGGUGACGAGAAGAGUUCGGCUGAUGCCGAAGGAGAUGCAACUAAAACACCCGAGAAUGAACCUAAGAAGGACAAGGAUGAAAAUGCUGAAAAACUAGAGAAAAUUCCUGAUUCAGUUGUUUUACUUGAUGAUGGAAAUGAUGGCAACAAGGAUUCUGCUCCUGAAGAAAAUAAUAGAGGAGAUGAUUCUGCUUCCAAGGACCAGAAAGAUGCAGCUUCUCCCAAACCUGAUGGUACAGACAGAUCUGUUACUGUUAAGGAACCUGAUGUAGUGGCUACCAAGGAAGAAGCCAAAUCAAACUCGCAGAAUACCCCUGGUAGCUCUGAUUUGCCCAAGGAAACAGUGCCAAAAGAUGCUGAAGAAUCAGCUGUCUCUACAUCUCAAACUGAGGUUCAAUCAAAUUCUGCCAAGGUAGCAGGAGGUGUAGCUGUAGCUGUGGAGGGCUCUCAUUCUAAAGAGCCUAUUAAAGAAGAGGAUAUGGCAUCCAUCUCUGAAAGCAAAGGGGCUGAUGCAUUGGUGAUCUCAAAUUCAACUGAAAAAGACGACCGUGCAGUAGGUGAUAGAGAAGCUAAAGGAUGUGGUAAUGAAAAGAAAGAGUCUGAAGCGCCAAAAAAAUAUCUUGAUUCUGAUGAGAAGCUAAAACGAGCUGCAGUGACCGCCCUCUCAGCUGGAGCAGUGAAAGCAAAGCUUCUGGCGGAUCAAGAAGAAGAUCAAAUACUUCAGCUGUCCACAUUUCUAAUAGAAAAGCAGUGGCUUGAAGCUUUCUUUUUCUUGUCAUUGAGGUCGUACUAGGGUUUCACAAAGCCUAUUCUAUUUGUUUAUAUGCACCCUGUAUAGCUUAGGCUGCUUUGGUUGCAGUUGUACAAGCUGGAGACCAAGUUGGCUUUCUUUGCUGAUAUGGAAAACGUCGGGAUGAGGGUUAGGGAACUGUUGGAGCGGUCGAAACAGAGGCUCUUCCAUGAGAGAGCACAGAUAAUUGCAACACGAUUUGGGAUGCCUCCGGGAUCAGCUCGUCCAGCUUCACAGAAUCUACCUCCCAACAGGGCAGCAGGUGCUUUCCCCAAUGCGGCGUCUAGACCCUUAAUGGGCAUGAACUCCCUUCGGCCUCCUAUUUCGAGACCCAUGAUGCCGCCAAAUCCUACUUCAAGCACUAUGUUGACUGGAAACGCCACAGGAAGUUCGAUGCAGCCCAACGCAGAUAAGCUUUCUUCAGUUGGCAUGAAGUAGCCUCCAAAGUGUACUGCCAAUCAUCUUCUGCUCCAAAUGUCUGCACACCUUCACUUCUACCGAGUUGAUUCGUAAAUGAUAUUGUGGUGAAAGAGGCCUUGAUGCACUUGCACCGAUCCAAAUUCGAGAAUGUUAUGUCGAAUCGGAAUUAGAAUCAGCUGAAAAUGAUCCAACGAGGGAGGUGGACAACGUAAAAGAAUCCUAUCUAUGACUGAGAAGGAAAAGCUUCAGAAAUGCGUUUAGUGCGUGUGAUCUGGUUUUGUAGAUUAUGUAACUGCGGCUCCUCCACUCGAAACAACGAUCUGCGUAGGCUAGUUUGUCUCUCAACCAGAAUUCAUGCCUCAUGGGUUUGUUCAAUGUUGUGUUGUAUUGUAUAAUUUAUAAUUUUCUAACAUGCUCGAACAUGUAGAAAUGAAAUUAUUUAGUGCAGCCAAUGCUAUGUUAUGUCUCCCUUUCAA